UUUCAAUCAAAACCAAUGAUGCAAACAACUUAGACAAUUUCUAAUUGAUGCAAGACUUUCAUUGAUGGAUUAAACAUAGGCAAUAGCAUCAGAUAACAAUAGGAUUGAACUUAGACACUAUGAGAUAUGCUUAUGUAUGCAAAAUGGCUUAUCAAUCAUGAUGCAAGCAGCAGAGACAUUCUACUCAAUUCUACAACACAUUCAGGAUGAUUCAAGCUAUGACAACAUCCAAGACAAUGCAAUAACAGACCAUGAGAUUCUGGGACUCUAGACAUUACUUACUAUCAAUAAGACAAUGCAGCAGCAAAACAAUUUCAGUGCAAUUAGCCUAGACAUUCUACUAGAAGCUAUAAAUUCUUAAUGGCAUUAGGGAAAGCACAUAGUAUAAUCAGGAGAUAAACCUAUCAAGACAUAUUAAAAUAGAUGAGAUUAGGUUUACUCCCUUGGUUAAAAUGAUGAGGAGUGGUUCUCAAAGUUACCACUUGAAUCCUUAC
This 494-nucleotide long non-coding RNA is filed under the name Brassica napus (rape). RNAcentral's name for it is "long non-coding RNA (BNAP_LNC015234)". Lineage: Eukaryota; Viridiplantae; Streptophyta; Magnoliopsida; Brassicales; Brassicaceae. The record is from RNAcentral.